This 496-nucleotide ribosomal RNA is filed under the name uncultured bacterium. Its description in RNAcentral is "partial 16S ribosomal RNA". It matches the Rfam family "Bacterial small subunit ribosomal RNA", at positions 28 to 506 of the family's 1533-position model. The record is from RNAcentral.
GAUGAACGCUGGCGGCGUGCCUAAUACAUGCAAGUCGAGCGAACGGACGAGAAGCUUGCUUCUCUGAUGUUAGCGGCGGACGGGUGAGUAACACGUGGAUAACCUACCUAUAAGACUGGGAUAACUUCGGGAAACCGGAGCUAAUACCGGAUGAUAUUUUGAACCGCAUGGUUCAAAAGUGAAAGACGGUCUUGCUGUCACUUAUAGAUGGAUCCGCGCUGCAUUAGCUAGUUGGUAAGGUAACGGCUUACCAAGGCAACGAUGCAUAGCCGACCUGAGAGGGGGUUCGGCACCGAGGGAAAUGGGAAACGGACCAGACUCCUAGGGGAGGCAGCAGUGGGGAAGUGUCCGCAAGGGGGGAAAGCCUGACGGAGCAACGCCGCGUGAGGGAUGAAGGUCUUCGGAUCGUAAAACUCUUUUAUUAGGGAAAAAAAUAUGGUAAAGUAACUGUGCAAAUCUUGACGGUACCAAAUCAAAAAGCCCCGGCUAACUACGU